GAGCUCACCUGUGACCGCCCAGCUCCAGACAAUCGACUUGCCUCCAGCUACGCCCUCUGAGACAGCAGACCACUACCUGCUGUGUCCAUCAAGCACUGUGCCGACAGGGCAAUCUUGUGACUAUUGUGGGAGGGACAUUUCAAUCACAUGUGAAACACCCCGUUUGGGGGUAUAUAACCACUCUGGCACCCCACUUCUUGGGUGCCCUUUCUUCCUUCUGGAAGAAAGGCCCCGGGCCAUGGUUCCUCAUAAAGCUUUGUUUAAUUUUCUCUUGCUAUUCUGUCUCAUGUGAAUUUAAUUCGUUCUCCAGCCAGACGAACCCCUAUUUGGGGAGAGGAAAUGUCCUCCUCCCCUACAGUUUUGGCGUAGUUGGCAGGCUGAAAUUUCCCUGGCUGGACACUGCUUGCUCCUAGACUGCUGCGGCUGAGAGAUCCCAGACCCCUGACGAGAGCCGGCAAGAGAUCUCAGAAGUGCUCCAGACACCCGUGGGAAACUCCAAAAGUUGGCGAUCCGUCCUGCUACCAGUCCCGCACAGCUACGAGUGGCUGCACGGAGGGUGCUCCAUAACCGACUUGAAGCUGAGGAUGCAAAGGAAGACAAGAUGAUGAAAAGGCAGGCCGCCCUGCUCGCUGUGGCCCGCCAGUCUCCUCAAGACCUGCCACCCUGUUCAUGGGGAAAAGCCACUUGAAUUUUGAACUGUCUUUUAGGA
Molecule: long non-coding RNA, 709 nt
Filed under: Equus asinus (donkey)
Lineage: Eukaryota; Metazoa; Chordata; Mammalia; Perissodactyla; Equidae
Description: lncRNA (ENSEASG00005029539.1)
Source: RNAcentral